Molecule: long non-coding RNA, 2892 nt
Organism: Canis lupus familiaris (dog)
Lineage: Eukaryota; Metazoa; Chordata; Mammalia; Carnivora; Canidae
Exons: 3
Source: RefSeq, a predicted model, not a curated record
UGAGGGAAGCCCCAUUUCAUCCUCCCCUAAGGGGGAUGUCUCGACCCAAGAGUCUUGACAUUCCACCCAGCACAAACAUUCUGUGACUCAUAAGUGGUCCAACUGUCCAUUGACUCCACCCAGGUGGGGCUGACGAAUGGGGGAGACCGGUGAACUUGAAGCCAGUGAUGGACUCUGCUAGCAAGGGCAGAGAAUCAGUCACAGACACACCUGCCACACAGCUUGAGCCUACGACCGCCAUCUCCAAGGCUUGCUGAGCCUUUGCCAAAUCUACACAUCAGAUGACAACUUGAUUCUCACACUUGGAUCCCUGUGAGCUAGUUGGCACCGGAUGUCUGAGCCACAGUCCCUAAAUCAGCCCCUCACCAUUGACGGAAGGAAUCUGUGCUCUAUUAAAAGCAUUCUUCAAACAGCAGAGAAUGCUAAAUGUGUUUAAAAUGUAAAAACCAACCAGAAAAUGCAUUUUAUUCUCCUGAAAGUUGUAAUCUUUGCAUAUCUCCAUGGUAUUGAGCACCAGCUGGGAACAGAAGUCCUAAAAUACCCAAGCAAGGCCAUCUCUGCAGAAGGAAAGACUCUCAACAGAGCCAACAAGACUCUCUCUCCUCCGAUUUAUGCAUCCCCAAAACACUUUGAAGUGGAUUGGUUAAGAUCUUGUUUUCUCCCUAGUGCUCCUGUCUCUCAGUUCUCUCCUUUAUACUCCAUGGUACAUGUGAUUUCCAGAAAAAAAUCUCAAAUACGUUGGUGGCUUGGAACUCGUCUCACUCUGCUCAAGAACCACUGGCUGUUUGGACUUCUGGGUCCACACUGAGGCUGUUCCCUCUGCCUGUAUUGCCAUUCCUCAACAUAACGUGGUUGAUGCUGAUUUAGGCUCUGAGCUCAGUACAGGCAUGGUCCUAAUUCAAGAACCCCGAUGGCCCCCUCCUGCUCCUUGAGCACUGCCAGGGGGUCGGAGCCACUAUGCUGCCUCUCAUAACAUGCUCCUUCAGGCUAGGCCAUGGCUCUUCCUUGGCAUGAAGGAGUUAGCUCAUAAGAGGUGGUGAAGUCAGCAGUGGCCAGUGAAGCAUUGAUGGCAGGACUGUGCCCGCUGACUGCCGAAUUCAGCUACACCUGGUCAUCCAACAAUCUCUGACUGCAAGCACAUCAUUUGUUGCUUGCCACGCAGGCCCUCUCUGGCCUGGCACUGCCGCUCACUCCGACGCCCUGACCUACACUCCCAAGACUCUCUUCCCCACCCCCGAUGGACUACUUUGCCCUCUUGGAAAACCUUCCCUGCUACCUCUAAGGGCUGCUGAUUCAUGUCUACCACCUAAUCUGAGUUGGCCUUAAAUCUCAACCUUUAGGAGGCUGUUAUGACUCAGUCUUAGCUCACCAAUGUUGCCGUCCUAUAGAUUGUACUAAAAUGAGCAGCUGCAGCAGCCGUCAAGGACAGCUCAGAAAACUCUGAUCUCCAUUUUAUGAGGCCAUCAAAAGGACAGCAGUCGGAGCAAUCUUUUCAUAGUGGAUUUCCAGGGAAGUUGUCAACUCUCAUUUAGGUGCAUUAUGUAUCUCUACCACAUGUCUGCACUUCCUUCCUUCCUUUAUUAAUAGAGAAAGUGGAAAACAGUACUUAACUUCUUAGGGGUUAAUCAGUUCCUGCUGCGUAUUUCUCCACAUGAAGGCAUAACUUCCAUUUACAACAUCAUUAUUGAUUACGUGAAAUGAUUUCAGGCUGAACUUAAGUCCCUGAGGUGUACAGAAUUGUGGUGAGUAUUCAAAACCUGGAGGGAGGAACCGAGGAUUAUUGCCGCACAGCUCUCCGUCAUCCCGAGCUUCCUCUUGAUUGCUGAGGGGAUGAGCUGUCUGUUGGCUGUUGAAAGUGUGCAAAUAUUUUCUCCAACUUCCCAUGGCUUGCUUCUCCAGAUUACCAUUAAAGGUUUUGAGCAGCAGAUUCCUGCAUAGGAAUAAGUGGUGGAGACUGUAGUGAUUCCUUGGGCAGGGAGCAUUAGAAAUUUAAAGGAUGCCAAAUGGUAUUUUGGACCAAGGUAAUAGGUUCAGCGCUGUUGAAAGUAGAUCUACUACAGGCAUCUAAGGUAGCUGUCAAUGUUCUGUGGAAGGUAUAGUCAAGGAAGACAGCAGUGUCCUGCAAACUCCCUGGGCCACUGUCACAUUGCAGAACUCUGGUCUGGGUGAACAAAGACCAAACCGAAUCUAAUGGACUUUAGGGGCUUAUCAGGACAAUAAACAAGUGAAGUUAAUUGAAAUCUUGUAACUAACAAACACCUAAGUUAACUCUUUGUGGAAGUGAAAAAAUUUCCAGGAUCAGGGAAAACUCUUUGGAGUGAAGAUGCUCUUAGGAAAAAAAGAAAAAGAGGAUAAACGUGACUAAAUCUCAUGUCAGAUUGAUCUAAUUAGUCACCUAAAUUCAUGAAAAAAAUCAUCCUUGUGUUCAAGGAAAUAAACGAGGAUUUUGAGUUUCCCAAUUCUUGGCUAUGUUACCCCAAUUAUAUGUUUCACUCACCUACUGAGUUCAGAUCCAGUUCAAAAGACAUAUAUUAAGUCCCUGCUAAAUUCCUUGUUUGCUAACACAGCAACUAUCAGGAUAUUUCACUUAUAAUUUUCCCUCAGAAAAGAGUGUUUCUAAAUACUAGAAUCCUUACAAAGGCUCUCAUGUAGCAGCUUAUCAUGACACUUUAUUUUGAACAAUAUAUUGCUGCAACUAUGCUGGUUUUGAACAAGCAGACAUUUGAUGGAAUUAGAGAGAGAGAAAGACAGAGAGAGAAAUUUAACACAGAUUUAGUAAAUUUCUAGGCUAUGCCAUUGUGUUUUUUGGUGUUGGACAUGUUAGAUGUCAUUUUAAAUAUGCCUUCAAAAGCAUACUUUAAAUAAAACAAUAGUGAGAUAAUCCUGGAGAUU